Rhopalosiphum maidis (corn leaf aphid) is the source of this 823-nucleotide long non-coding RNA. RefSeq lists it as uncharacterized. The record is from RefSeq and is a predicted model, not a curated record. The transcript is spliced from 2 exons. NCBI's taxonomy places the organism in Eukaryota, Metazoa, Arthropoda, Insecta, Hemiptera, Aphididae.
ACGUACGCGGUCCCGGUGGCGGUGCUCACGGAGCCUACGGAGCGCCAUUUUAUGCGUUACAGUCGCUUCACCAAGUCGUGAGUUCCCGACACUUGCGCACCACAAUGGUGGCUUACCACGGACUAGGAUAACCUUCUAUCUUAGUCCGUGGUAGCCUAUCUAAUUUUUCAAGAUGCCACAGACUGUUGUUAUCCAUAGGAUAAAGAUUGAGUGACCACUGCAGACCUAAAAUCACACGGGCUGUCGACGCGGCGCUCUCCCCAACGGGUAUGCCGCCAUGACAGACCCGUUGUCUAUUGUCCACGUGUUUUUCAUUUUCGACCAAUGUCAAACGGACCGAUCACCCGCUAUGAAUAUUGCCGCAUCGCGUGUCACGUCUGACUUUGCGUAACAUCAAAUGGAUCAUGGAUGUUGUUGUCACGGCGGUGUUCCCACGGUUUUUGGAAGUACGCGAGUCUUUAGACCUUUUUGUGGCUUGAUGUCUGCACAAGAAAUGAUGAUUACCAGCAAAACGCGUCAUGGUACUAAGAUGGUUUUAGCCUACAUUUCUACCUAUUGUUGUGGAUAUAAGUCGUGAAGAUGGAAGCAGAUCGGAGUACUUCCAUGAGACGUGGGAACAGUGUUGGAUGAAAAGUUCUAUUACCUAUUUGAUUUGUAACUCUUGGUCAAACAUAGCCAUUCGAAGCAGUGAUAUCCAUAGUGGGAGACCGGACCAAUUGACUUGUUCGGAGUUUACGCAAAUACUAAUGUUAAUUUAAACAUAAACAUUUUUAUAAUUUGUUUUGAAAUAGUGCUUUUGAUAAAUAAACAACCAUUUAAUAUA